Molecule: transfer RNA, 90 nt
Filed under: Rhodospirillales bacterium
Lineage: Bacteria; Pseudomonadati; Pseudomonadota; Alphaproteobacteria; Rhodospirillales
Description: tRNA-Ser
Rfam family: tRNA
About the family: Transfer RNA (tRNA) molecules are approximately 80 nucleotides in length.
Source: RNAcentral
GGAAGGGUGGCAGAGCGGUUGAAUGCACCGCACUCGAAAUGCGGCGUACGGGUAACCGUACCGGGAGUUCGAAUCUCCCCCCUUCCGCCA